RNAcentral lists this non-coding RNA (154 nucleotides) under Nippostrongylus brasiliensis. RNAcentral's name for it is "Eukaryotic large subunit ribosomal RNA". It matches the Rfam family "Eukaryotic large subunit ribosomal RNA", at positions 2438 to 2606 of the family's 3401-position model. Lineage: Eukaryota; Metazoa; Nematoda; Chromadorea; Rhabditida; Heligmosomidae. The record is from Rfam by way of RNAcentral.
AUUGUGAAGAGUCAUGAGAGGUGUAGCAUAGGAGGGAGACUUUGAUCGACAAUAAAAUACCACCACUUUCAUCGAUUCUUUACUUGAUCGGUGAGAAGAGAAUCGCUUUACGGUUCAUUUUUCUUUGUAUUAUGCAAAGUCACCUGGUGAUAUU